CAGAGGGGGCAAGCGUUGUUCGGAAUUACUGGGCGUAAAGGGCGCGUAGGCGGCCUUCUAAGUCAGACGUGAAAUCCCUCGGCUCAACCGGGGAACUGCGUCUGAGACUGGAAGGCUUGAAUCCGGGAGAGGGAUGUGGAACUCCAGGUGUAGCGGUGAAAUGCGUAGAUAUCUGGAGGAACACCGGUGGCGAAGGCGGCAUCCUGGACCGGUAUUGACGCUGAGGCGCGAAAGCCAGGGGAGCAAACGGGAUUAGAUACCCCGGUAGUCCUGGCCCUAAACGAUGAAUGCUUGGUGUGGCGGGUAUCGAUCCCUGCCGUGCCGAAGCUAACGCAUUAAGCAUUCCGCCUGGGGAGUACGGUCGCAAGGCUG
RNAcentral lists this ribosomal RNA (372 nucleotides) under uncultured organism. Its description in RNAcentral is "bacterial SSU rRNA". It matches the Rfam family "Bacterial small subunit ribosomal RNA", at positions 526 to 896 of the family's 1533-position model. The record is from RNAcentral.